AGGACUGCAGCUGACCCACAGUGGGCAUGUAGAGAGAAAAAAACUGUGUAAGCCACUUAACACAAUCUGGAAUAAACUGGCUGGCACAAGGCUCUUCAGAUAUUGGAUCCUUGAACAACGACAAGCACCUGUGAGUUCCCCAGCAAGUAUAGCAAUAAACCUGAAUGUGGAAACCUUAACCAUUGAGCUAGUUAUGCUUUAUGAAGAACAACACCAUUUAGCAAGAGAGGAAGCUGUCCAAACGGUGACCCACCACUGAGAAGGUGGCAUGCAAACCUCAAUCCUGCCUGCAUUUUCUUUGACAGCUACCCCCCAACCCCCCCACCACUGCCGCGGGGAACUGAGCACCUAGGGCACCAGCCCACUCCACGGGUCCCAAAUCAGCUAGAUGGUGACGGAAAUGGAAGGAAUGGAACACAUUGGAAAGGAUUUGGCUGCAAAUGGGAAAGUGUAAUUUAGCCCCCAUGCAUCAGUACAGCAGAGAUGUGACGUAACAGGAACAUGACUACGCAUCCUGUCACCGCAGCAGGCAGCUCUGAAUUUUCCAGAGAUAAAAUUCAUUUUAAUGUCUUCCACAGAAAAGGAAUCUAAAUGUUUGUCAUUCUGAAUGACAUACGGCAUGUCAUUUCAAGAUAUAACAGCAUGUCUUUCCAGCAUUUAAAAAUCACAGAAAUUCAGAAUCUGAUGAAGUUAAUGGACAUCCGUUCAAGUCUUCUUUUCUACUUAUUCAACCUGAUCAUCAUGAAAGUCAACAAUUGCUAAAUAAAGAAGUUAAUUACGUUCAUAAGGAUUUUAUUCUUCCGAGAUCAAUAAUGACCAACAUAAUUCCAUACU
Molecule: long non-coding RNA, 834 nt
Organism: Mustela lutreola (European mink)
Lineage: Eukaryota; Metazoa; Chordata; Mammalia; Carnivora; Mustelidae
Exons: 4
Source: RefSeq, a predicted model, not a curated record